Molecule: ribosomal RNA, 465 nt
Filed under: uncultured bacterium
Lineage: Bacteria
Description: partial 16S ribosomal RNA
Rfam family: Bacterial small subunit ribosomal RNA
Source: RNAcentral
GACGAACGCUGGCGGCGUGCUUAACACAUGCAAGUCGAAAGGAAAGGCCCUGCUUGCAGGGUACUCGAGUGGCGAACGGGUGAGUAACACGUGGGUGAUCUGCCCUGCACUUCGGGAUAAGCCUGGGAAACUGGGUCUAAUACCGGAUAGGAGCCAUUUUUAGUGUGAUGGUUGGAAAGUUUUUUCGGUGUAGGAUGAGCUCGCGGCCUAUCAGCUUGUUGGUGGGGUAAUGGCCUACCAAGGCGGCGACGGGUAGCCGGCCUGAGAGGGUGGACGGCCACAUUGGGACUGAGAUACGGCCCAGACUCCUACGGGAGGCAGCAGUGGGGAAUAUUGCACAAUGGGCGCAAGCCUGAUGCAGCGACGCCGCGUGGGGGAUGACGGCCUUCGGGUUGUAAACUCCUUUCGCUAGGGACGAAGCUUUUUGUGACGGUACCUAGAUAAGAAGCACCGGCUAACUACGUG